This 460-nucleotide ribosomal RNA is filed under the name uncultured bacterium. Its description in RNAcentral is "partial 16S ribosomal RNA". It matches the Rfam family "Bacterial small subunit ribosomal RNA", at positions 338 to 795 of the family's 1533-position model. The record is from RNAcentral.
CCUACGGGAGGCUGCAGUGAGGAAUAUUGGUCAAUGGGCUAACGCCUGAACCAGCCAAGUCGCGUGAGGGAAGACGGCCCUAUGGGUUGUAAACCUCUUUUGUCAGGGAGCAAUUGACUCUACGUGUAGCGUUAUCGAGAGUACCUGAAGAAAAAGCAUCGGCUAACUCCGUGCCAGCAGCCGCGGUAAUACGGAGGAUGCGAGCGUUAUCCGGAUUUAUUGGGUUUAAAGGGUGCGUAGGCGGAAUACAAAGUCAGCGGUAAAAUCGCGGGGCUAAACCCCGUUGUGCCGUUGAAACUGGUGUUCUUGAGUGGGCGAGAAGUAUGCGGAAUGCGUGGUGUAGCGGUGAAAUGCAUAGAUAUCACGCAGAACUCCGAUUGCGAAGGCAGCAUACCGGCGCCCAACUGACGCUGAAGCACGAAAGCGUGGGUAGCGAACAGGAUUAGAUACCCGGGUAGUC